CGCUCCCGGGUCUUGUACCACACCGCCCGUCACACCAUGGGAGCGGGUUUUACCAGAAGUAGGUAGCUUAACCGUAAGGAGGGCGGCUUACCACCGGUAGGAUUCGUGACUGGGGUG
Molecule: ribosomal RNA, 117 nt
Filed under: uncultured bacterium
Lineage: Bacteria
Description: partial 16S ribosomal RNA
Rfam family: Bacterial small subunit ribosomal RNA
Source: RNAcentral